RNAcentral lists this ribosomal RNA (301 nucleotides) under uncultured bacterium. RNAcentral describes it as "partial 16S ribosomal RNA". It matches the Rfam family "Bacterial small subunit ribosomal RNA", at positions 509 to 807 of the family's 1533-position model. The record is from RNAcentral.
CAGUAGCCGCGGGAAAACGGAGGGGGCUAGCGUUGUUCGGAAUUACUGGGCGUAAAGCGCACGUAGGCGGCUUGGUAAGUUAGAGGUGAAAGCCUGGAGCUCAACUCCAGAAUUGCCUUUAAGACUGCCGAGCUAGCAGGUGAGAGAGGUAAGUGGAAUUCCGAGUGUAGAGGUGAAAUUCGUAGAUAUUCGGAAGAACACCAGUGGCGAAGGCGGCUUACUGGCUCAUACUGGACGCUGAGGUGCGAAAGCGUGGGGAGCAAACAGGAUUAGAUACCCCCGUAGUCCCUGUCUCUUAUAC